GCCAGAAUAGCGGAGUGGUUUGAGUAUUGGACUAUGACUCUGGAGACAGAGUUCAAAUCCCUGCUCAGCCA
Molecule: non-coding RNA, 71 nt
Organism: Phrynosoma platyrhinos (Desert horned lizard)
Lineage: Eukaryota; Metazoa; Chordata; Lepidosauria; Squamata; Phrynosomatidae
Source: the annotation of a GenBank genome assembly